Molecule: ribosomal RNA, 475 nt
Filed under: uncultured soil bacterium
Lineage: Bacteria
Description: bacterial SSU rRNA
Rfam family: Bacterial small subunit ribosomal RNA
Source: RNAcentral
AGAGUGAACGCUGGCGGCAGGCCUAACACAUGCAAGUCGAGCGGCAGCGCGGGGGCAACCCUGGCGGCGAGCGGCGGACGGGUGAGGAAUACAUCGGAAUCUGCCUUGUUGUGGGGGAUAACGUAGGGAAACUUACGCUAAUACCGCAUAAGACCUGAGGGUGAAAGCGGGGGACCGCAAGGGCCUCGCGCGACAAGAUGAGCCGAUGUCCGAUUAGCUAGUUGGUGAGGUAAAGGCUCACCAAGGCGACGAUCGGUAGCUGGUCUGAGAGGAUGAUCAGCCACACUGGAACUGAGACACGGUCCAGACUCCUACGGGAGGCAGCAGUGGGGAAUAGUUGGACAAUGGGGGCAACCCGUGAUCCAGCCAUGCCGCGUGUGUGGAAGAAGGCCUUCGGGUUGUAAAGUCUACGUUUUUGUUACGGAAGUAAAUCUCAACGUAUUAAUACGUACGGAGGAUGACGGUACCGGAAGAA